AUUAUUUGAUCCCCACCCUCAGCGUCCAACAAGUCUAAGAAAUCUUUACCAGCCCGGGCGUUUUUUGAAUGCUCACAUUUGUUUCUGAGUGGAUGAAUGGGGAGCGGAAGAAUGAAUGCCGAGUGCCGGAAUGCUGAAUACUUCUGGUUGCUUUAGAUCGCAUCACACCUGGGCACGUGAGCCGCGCCGGCAGGACUGAGCCAAUAACACCAUGCAUCCAACACAAUAUUUCCAGCUAAAACUGGUGAAAAUCCUUUCCCAGGUAAGCGACCUCACCUGUCUGAAAUAUUG
This is a long non-coding RNA of Spea bombifrons (plains spadefoot toad), 291 nucleotides long. RefSeq lists it as uncharacterized. The record is from RefSeq and is a predicted model, not a curated record. NCBI's taxonomy places the organism in Eukaryota, Metazoa, Chordata, Amphibia, Anura, Pelobatidae. The transcript has 3 exons.